This 77-nucleotide non-coding RNA is filed under the name Betaproteobacteria bacterium. Lineage: Bacteria; Pseudomonadati; Pseudomonadota; Betaproteobacteria. The record is from RNAcentral.
UUACUGUCUUGCGCCGAUUUGAUGAACAGCUUGCGGGCGCGUAAAAAAUACUGCUAAAGCGCGUCGCAUGACGAACC